This 1047-nucleotide long non-coding RNA is filed under the name Chrysemys picta bellii (western painted turtle). Its description in RNAcentral is "lncRNA (ENSCPBG00000011815.1)". The record is from RNAcentral. Lineage: Eukaryota; Metazoa; Chordata; Testudines; Emydidae.
CGAACAAGGCCCUGCUCUCCUUAUCUGUUGUGCUGUGUGCUGGAAUGGCUCCCUUGUGUUUCUAUAGCUUAACUCUUUUAUGAGGCUAGGUUGGCUUCUUGUUCAACCACCGAGGUGGAGGACCAAUGUGCUACUUUUUGUCUGGUUCCUAGUGUGGCAUAUUGAAAAUUCUGCUAAAAUUGUGGCUGUCAUUUAAAAUGUCAGGGGUUUUUCCUGGUCCUGAUUGCAGGCAGGGGGAUCUGUAGAGAAGUGUGCAAUCUGGGUCCAGCAGCAAUCAGUCUGCAAAGACACAGCAUACAGCAAGGUGGGGUGAGUUGGGCCUUUGUGCCUCAGGGAGCAGCCUGCUUUUUCUCUCUGUGUUUUUGGUUCUUGUGUAUUAGGGUUCUGGAUUCUAAGAAAUAAAUAGUAUAAUGUUGCAACCUUCCAACAAGAGUAUUAUGCCUUUAUCUAAUUUCUCUGUUUGUGUGCCAUGAAACAGGACACACAAGCUUUCCCAUCACAUCUAAGUGUUGUUCCCAGGUAGACAGUUCCCGGAAUGCCCCAGCAAGGAUUCUCCAGCCUCGUCCACAACCCUAACUGAAUUGGCACCUUUUGGACAUUCUGCAGCUAUGAAUCAUUUUCAGAUGAAAGGGGAAAUGAUGCUGUUUUUCCCUAAAGUAACUUUAUUUUUUCUCCCAAAGCUUUGAGUUUUACAUCCCAGCAGCAGCUGGCCUCCAACUGCAUUUCCUCAUCAGGGGAUCUCCUUGCUCCUGAACUAUAUCUGGACAAGUCAUCGGCUUAUGUGGGCGACACUGUUCUUUAUCGGUGUCUCACCCCCUCGGACGCCCCUGUGAGCUUCGCUUUCCUUUGCAAGGAUGGCAAGGAAAUGACCAGGAAACCGGCUGUGCCAGGGAAAUUGUCCUUUGACUUUCCCCAUCAUGUGUCUGGGCAGAGUUCGGGCAACUAUUCCUGUGGGUAUCAGCACAAGAGCCUCCACAACCAAGUGCAGAGUUCUCACCUCAGCAUCACCCACUACCUGAGUGUCACAAGUGAGUAAGCGUCCAUUGU